This 497-nucleotide ribosomal RNA is filed under the name uncultured bacterium. RNAcentral's name for it is "partial 16S ribosomal RNA". It matches the Rfam family "Bacterial small subunit ribosomal RNA", at positions 28 to 507 of the family's 1533-position model. The record is from RNAcentral.
GAUGAACGCUGGCGGCGUGCCUAACACAUGCAAGUCGAGCGGACGGACGAGACGUUUGCUUCGCUGACGUUAGCGGCGGGCGGGUGAACAACACGUGUAUACCCCACCUAUAAGACUGGGAUAACUACGGGAAAGCGGAUCUAACACCGGAUAAUAUUUUGAACCACAGGGUUCAUAGGAGAAAGACGGUGUUGCUGUCACUACUAGAGGGUUCCGCGCUGCAUUGGCUAGUUGGUAAGGUAACGGCCUACCAAGGCUACGAUGCGUAGCCGAACUGAGAGGGGGAUCGGCCACACUGGAACUGAGACACGGUCCAGGCUCCUACGGGAGGCAGCAGUAGGGAAUCGUACGCAAUGGGCGAAAGCCUGACGGAGCAACGCCGCGUGAGUGAUGAAGGUCUUCGGAUCGUAAAGCUCUGUUAUUGGGGAUGAACAUAUGUGUAAGUAGCCGUGGCGAUCUUGACGGUACCUAGUCAAAAAGCACCGGCUAACUACGUG